UACAUCUUGGUGUAUGGUGCACGGCAGCUUUUGAUGUUGUAUGGUAAUAGUUUGAUUCUGUUAGAUGUAA
This 70-nucleotide transfer RNA is filed under the name Furculitermes soyeri. Its description in RNAcentral is "tRNA-Gln". The record is from RNAcentral. Lineage: Eukaryota; Metazoa; Arthropoda; Insecta; Blattodea; Termitidae.